UGGGUUCUAGGUUACCCUCCUGGGUGUUCCUAAGCUGCCUGGCCUCUAGUUAUUCACUUGGCAAGCAUUUAUUGGGUGCUUCCUAUGUGCCAGGCAUUGUGCUUGGCUUUGAAAGGUGUCAAGAGCAGCAGAGACCUGGUACAGAGUCAAAGACAGAUGGCUUAUUAGUAGUCAUCUCAUUUAAAUCUCAUAGAAUUUUCCCACUAAAUCUCAAAGUAAGUAAUUUGUUAUAGGCUAUUAUAGGCUAUUUGGUCAAGUGCAUGGAAGGGACAGCAUUAGGACAUGUGGUAGUUCAUUUCCAAAUUACUUGAGAUGAUUUUCAUUGUAAUCAUAUAUUAUUUGGUUCUGGUUUUCCGGAAAAGCCAGCUAAACCUUUGUUUUAUUUAGAUAUAAAUGAAAUAUCUUCAAAGGAUUGCUCAAAGUGACUUAUGCAGCUUGAAUAUAUAUUUUUUCCUUAGGGUGUUUAUCCCAAAUUAUCUGGCUAUUUACUGCAAUUUUCAGUUAAAAAAAUAGUUAUUUUUCAAGUUAGAGAUGUUUUAGUAAAAGCAGUCAUUUUGAGCUGGCAGCAGCCAAAUAAAACAGCCCUUCAAAGGACAUGAACUCACCCUUUUUUAUGGCUGCAUAGUGUUCCAUGGUGUAUAUGUGCCACAUUUUCUUUAUCCAAUCUAUUAUUGAUGGACAUUUAGGUUGGUUCCAAGUCUUUGAUAUUGUGAAUAGUGCUGCAGUAA
Molecule: long non-coding RNA, 728 nt
Filed under: Pan troglodytes (chimpanzee)
Lineage: Eukaryota; Metazoa; Chordata; Mammalia; Primates; Hominidae
Description: long non-coding RNA NONPTRT017053
Source: RNAcentral